RNAcentral lists this ribosomal RNA (88 nucleotides) under uncultured bacterium. RNAcentral's name for it is "partial 16S ribosomal RNA". The record is from RNAcentral.
CGUGCAGGAUGAAGGCUUCGGUCGUAACUGCUUUUAUGUGUGAAGAUUAUGACGGUAACACAUGAAUAAGGGUCGGCUAACUACGUGC